This is a long non-coding RNA of Symphalangus syndactylus (siamang), 4455 nucleotides long. RefSeq lists it as uncharacterized. The record is from RefSeq and is a predicted model, not a curated record. Lineage: Eukaryota; Metazoa; Chordata; Mammalia; Primates; Hylobatidae.
GGGAGUCAGCACACAGCCUUAAUGAAAGAGGAAAGAAAGAAAAAAAAAAAGAAAGAAAGAAACAGUUUGCAGAUGCCAACCAGGGCCGUCCCCCUACACCCCCGAGACCUGCACCGCGGCUCCCUGUUCUGGGACAGUGACUCAGCGCCCACACGCUGCGCUGAGUGCAGCUGCCGGCUGGAGGCGGGCAGGACGGACGUGCAGCCGGAACCGUGAGCCUCUGACGGCCUGAGACCUUCAUUGUUCCGCCUCCCCUAGCCGCUCACCUCUUCCUUCCUCCUUCCCAAGCCUUUUUUCAUUUUUUUCUUCAUUUCUCUCCAGCCUUCCUCUCUCUCUCUCCUUCCUUCCUUCCUCCUUGCUUUCUUUAUAUGCCUUAUUUUCUGAGAAGGUUGACCCCAGUUCCGGCGAUAGACGGACACUAAGCCCCCCUUGAGUGACUAGAAAGGCAGGGGACAUAGGAACAGUUAGGACAUAAGGGGAGAGUAAAGUGAGGGACCUCUGAUUUUGAUUUCAGGGUGCCCCGUUUGUCUCAUCCAAUAUCCUGAAGACCCAAGAUGGAGACCAGCUACUUGUCCCUUCCAAAAAAGCUUCCCUGGCCUCAAUGUCAGUGCUUGUAGGUGAUCUCAGACACCUCCCUGGCGAAGAAAACCUGAAGACAGGGUCUUGCUCUGUUGCCUGGCUGGAGUGCAGUGGUGCUAACAUGGCUCACUGCAGCCUUGACCUCCUGGACUCAAGUGAUCCUCCCACCUCAGCCUCCUGAGUAGCUGGGACUCCAAAACCUUCAGACCUGUAGAUGGGCUCUUCUUGGACAUUCUGGAGUCCCUGCGGGAAAGGGAAGUCUGCAGCUCAGUUGGCCACCUCUGCAUAACAAAUACCGAGAGCACUGCAAGUAGAGCUUGGACAAGGUCUGGAAAAUCAGCCUUCUUCUGGAUGCCUCCAGCCUUUGCUACAGAUCAUCUGCCUAGGAGGCUGGAAGUUACUCAAGCGGCUCAAGGAAAAGAGAUGCCCUGCCCAGAGAGGAGGAAUCUAGAGAAGCAGUCUGGCUACAGCAGCUUUGCAGAGCUGUGAUGGGCUCCAUCCAGUUCAAACUUCCCUGUGGCUUUGUUUACACUAUGAGGGGAAAACUGCCUACUUAAGCCUCAGUAAUGGUGGACGCCCCUCCCCCAACCAAGCUCAAGCAUCCCGGGUGGACUUCAGACUGCUGUGCUGGCAGCAAGAAUUUCAAGGCAGUGGAUCUUAGCUUGCUGGGCUCUGAGGAGGUGGGAUCCGCUGAGCUAGACCACUUGGCUCCCAGGCUUCAGCCCCCUUUCCAGGGGCGUGAACAGUUCUGUCUCACUGGUGUUCCAGGUGCCACCGGGGUAUGAAAAAAACUCCUGCAGCUAGCUUGGUGUCUUCCCACAUGGCUGCCCCAGUUUUGUGCUUGAAUCCUAGGGCCCUGGUGGUGUAGGCACCCGAGGGAGUCUCACCUGGAUUGCAAAGACUGUGGGAAAAGUGUAGUGUCUGGGCUGGAGUGCACUGUUCCUCAUGGCACAGUCCCUCACGGUUUCCCUUGGCUAGGGGAAGGAGUUCCCCGACUCCUUGUACUUUCUGGGUGAGGCAACACCCCACCCUGCUUCAGCUCAUCCUCUGUGGGCUGUACCCACUGUCUAACCAGUCCCAGUGAGAUGAGCUGGAUACCUCAGUUGGAAAUGCAGAAAUCACCUGCCUUCUGUGUUGAUCUUGCUGGGAGCUGCAGACUGGCGCUGUUCCUAUUCGACCAUCUUGCCAGCCACCUACAUUUAUUUUUCUUUAAGUUUAUUGUGACUCACAGAAUUAAUUUCAUGCCUCACUAAUGGGUCACACACACAGUAUAAAAAAUACUCAUAGACUUCCUUCAUUUCUUUCUUUCUUCCUUUCUUUCUUUCUUUCUUUCUUUCUUUCUUUCUUUCUUUCUUUCUUUCUUUCUUUCUUUCUUUCUUUCUUUCUCUUUCUUCUUUCCCUCCCUCUGGGGCCCACGCUGCAAUCUACUCGGCUCGCUGCUGCCCGCGCCGCGGACUGCCUGGGACUGCCGGCACGCUCCUUUCGCUGCAGGCACGCGUUCGCCAUGUUGGCCACGCUGGUCGCCAGCUCCUAACCCCGAGUACUCUGCCCGCCUCCGCCUCCUGAGGUGCUGGGACUGCAGACGGAGUCUCGCUCACCCGGUGCUCGGUGUUGCCCAGGCUGGAGUGCGGUGGCGUGGUCUGGCCUCGCGGCAGCCUCCGCCUCCCAGCCGCCUGCCUUGGCCUACCAGGGUGCUGGGAUUGCAGUCCCUGCCCGGCCGCCGCCCGGUCUGGGAAGUGGGGAGCGUCUCUGCCCGGCCACCCAUCGUCUGGGAAGUGAGGAGUGCCUCUGCCCGGCCACCCAUCGUCUGGGAAGUGAGGAGCGCCUCUGCCCGGCAGCCCCGUCUGGAAAUGAGGAGUGCCUCUGCCCGGCCACCCAUCGUCUGGGAGGUGAGGAGCGCCUCUGCCCGGCCGCCCCGUCUGGGAAGUGAGGAGCGCCUCUGCCCGGCCACCCACUGUCUGGGAAGUGAGGAGCGCCUCUGGCCGGCCACCCACCGUCUGGGAAGUGAGGAGCGCCUCUGGCCGGCCACCCACCGUCUGGGAAGUGAGGAGCGCCUCUGCCCGGCCACCCCAUCUGGGAAGUGAGGAGCGCCUCUGCCCGGCCACCCAUCGUCUGGGAAGUGAGGAGCGCCUCUGCCCGGCCACCCAUCGUCUGGGAAGUGAGGAGCGCCUCUGCCCGGCCGCCCUGUCUGGGAAGUGAGGAGCGCCUCUGCCCGGCCACCCAUCGUCUGGGAAGUGAGGAGCGCCUCUGCCCAGCCACCCAUCGUCUGGGAAGUGAGGAGCACCUCUGCCCGGCCGCCCUGUCUGGGAAGUGAGGAGCGCCUCUGCUCGGCCACCCAUCGUCUGGGAAGUGAGGAGCGCCUCUGCCCGGCUGCCCCGUCCGGGAAGAAGUGAGGAGCGCCUCUGCCCGGCCGCCCCGUCCGGGAAGAAGUGAGGAGCGCCUCUGCCCGGCCGCCCCGUCCGGGAAGAAGUGAGGAGCGCCUCUGCCCGGCCGCCCCGUCUGGGAAGAAGUGAGGAGCGCCUCUGCCCGGCCGCCCCGUCUGGGAGGUGAGGAGCGCCUCUGCCCGCCCACCCAUCGUCUGGGAGGUGAGGAGCGCCUCUGCCCGCCCACCCAUCGUCUGGGAGGUGAGGAACGCCUCUGCCCGGCCGCCCCAUCUGGGAGGAAGUGAGGAGCGCCUCUGCCCGGCCGCCCCGUCCGGGAAGAAGUGAGGAGCGCCUCUGCCCGGCCGCCCCGUCCGGGAAGAAGUGAGGAGCGCCUCUGCCCGGCCACCUAUUGUCUGGGAGGUGACGAGCACCUCUGCCCGGCCACCCCAUCUGGGAGGAAGUGAGGAGCUCCUCUGCCCAGCCGCCUCGCCUGGGAAGAAGUGAGGAGCGCCUCUGCCCGGCCACCCCAUCCGGGAAGAAGUGAGGAGCGCCUCUGCCUGGCCGCCCCGUCCGGGAAGAAGUGAGGAGCACCUCUGCCCGGCCACCCAUCGUCUGGGAAGUGAGGAGCACCUCUGCCCGGCUGCCCCGUCUGGGAAGUGGGGAGCGCCUCUGCCCGGCCACCCCAUCCGGGAAGAAGUGAGGAGCGCCUCUGCCUGGCCGCCCCGUCCGGGAAGAAGUGAGGAGCACCUCUGCCCGGCCACCCAUCGUCUGGGAAGUGAGGAGCACCUCUGCCCGGCUGCCCCGUCUGGGAAGUGGGGAGCGCCUCUGCCCGGCCGCCCCGUCUGGGAAGUGAGGAGCACCUCUGCCCGGCCACCCAUCGUCUGGGAAGUGAGGAGCGCCUCUGCCCGGCCACCUAUCGUCUGGGAAGAAGUGAGGAGCGUCUCUGCCUGGCCGCCCCGUCUGGGAAGUGAGGAGCGCCUCUGCCCGGCCGCCCCGUGUCUGGGAAGAAGUGAGGAGCGCCUCUGCCCGGCCGCUCCGUCUGGGAGGUCUACCACGGAGGCCAGAAGCAAUGUGGGGGCUGGACGUGGUGGCUCACGCCUGUGGUCCCGGCACUCUGGGGGGCGAGGCGGGUUGAUCACUUCGGGCUAGGAGUUCGAGACCAGUCUGGCCAACUUGGCGAAACAUGAAAAAUACAACAGACAAACCAACCAACCAACUCAGUGACAACAAAACAGGUCUACCCUGGAGUCAUACUCUAAUUUUUUCUAUUUUCCUCCCUUUCUGAUCCUUUAUCCCACUUUCUUUUUCUUCCUCUUCCUUCUCCCUCUUCUUUGUCAAAUAGAGGAUUGAGUUAUUAUCACUGAUCCAUAUAAAGUCCCUCUCUCAUUUAUUUUAACUCCCACCCCCCAUUUCUAUUCCCCGACUUCCCAUGUGCAACCUUCCUAAUAUGUUUGAUACGCAUCUUUUUGUUUGUAUGUAUUUUUUAGAAAAUGUUUAUUGUUUUUGUGUGCAA